RNAcentral lists this ribosomal RNA (1343 nucleotides) under uncultured bacterium. RNAcentral's name for it is "16S ribosomal RNA". It matches the Rfam family "Bacterial small subunit ribosomal RNA", at positions 28 to 1378 of the family's 1533-position model. The record is from RNAcentral.
GACGAACGCUUGCGGCGUGCUUAACACAUGCAAGUCGAACGGAAAGGCCCUGCUUUUGUGGGGUGCUCGAGUGGCGAACGGGUGAGUAACACGUGAGUAACCUGCCCUUGACUUUGGGAUAACUUCAGGAAACUGGGGCUAAUACCGGAUAGGAGCUCCUGCUGCAUGGUGGGGGUUGGAAAGUUUCGGCGGUUGGGGAUGGACUCGCGGCUUAUCAGCUUGUUGGUGGGGUAGUGGCUUACCAAGGCUUUGACGGGUAGCCGGCCUGAGAGGGUGACCGGCCACAUUGGGACUGAGAUACGGCCCAGACUCCUACGGGAGGCAGCAGUGGGGAAUAUUGCACAAUGGGCGGAAGCCUGAUGCAGCAACGCCGCGUGCGGGAUGACGGCCUUCGGGUUGUAAACCGCUUUCGCCUGUGACGAAGCGUGAGUGACGGUAAUGGGUAAAGAAGCACCGGCUAACUACGUGCCAGCAGCCGCGGUGAUACGUAGGGUGCGAGCGUUGUCCGGAUUUAUUGGGCGUAAAGGGCUCGUAGGUGGUUGAUCGCGUCGGAAGUGUAAUCUUGGGGCUUAACCCUGAGCGUGCUUUCGAUACGGGUUGACUUGAGGAAGGUAGGGGAGAAUGGAAUUCCUGGUGGAGCGGUGGAAUGCGCAGAUAUCAGGAGGACCACCAGUGGCGAAGGCGGUUCUCUGGGCCUUUCCUGACGCUGAGGAGCGAAAGCGUGGGGAGCGAACAGGCUUAGAUACCCUGGUAGUCCACGCUGUAAACGGUGGGUACUAGGUGUGGGGUCCAUUCCACGGGUUCCGUGCCGUAGCUAACGCUUUAAGUACCCCGCCUGGGGAGUACGGCCGCAAGGCUAAAACUCAAAGGAAUUGACGGGGCCCCGCACAAGCGGCGGAGCAUGCGGAUUAAUUCGAUGCAACGCGUAGAACCUUACCUGGGUUUGACAUGGAUCGGGAGUGCUCAGAGAUGGGUGUGCCUCUUUUGGGGUCGGUUCACAGGUGGUGCAUGCCUGUCGUCAGCUCGUGUCGUGAGAUGUUGGGUUAAGUCCCGCAACGAGCGCAACCCUUGUUCACUGUUGCCAGCACGUUAUGGUGGGGACUCAGUGGAGACCGCCGGGGUCAACUCGGAGGAAGGUGGGGAUGACGUCAAGUCAUCAUGCCCCUUAUGUCCAGGGCUUCACGCAUGCUACAAUGGCUGGUACAGAGAGUGGCGAGCCUGUGAGGGUGAGCGAAUCUCGGAAAGCCGGUCUCAGUUCGGAUCGGGGUCUGCAACUCGACCUCAUGAAGUCGGAGUCGCUAGUAAUCGCAGAUCAGCAACGCUGCGGUGAAUACGUUCCCGGG